UGUAAUCUCUCAACAUCUGGAAUAUAUUACAUACAUUAUGAAAGGGACACCUGUGCAAUUUAUUUAGUUGUCCAAGAAACCCUUACUAAGUUUACUUUCUUUAAUUUUGAAAUACAAGUUUGGUAUAAGCUACUGCUACGUAGUUACUAUUGUAGGUGUGCAUCUGACCAGAUGCAACAAACAUUAACAGCUUUCUAGUGCAAAACUAGUUUAACUUGAUUAAGUUCUUUUCCCUCCCCUAAUUCACAGCAGCUAGAGCCCACAAGUUCCUUAAUUACCACCAGAUUUUCUUCAUCAAUGUCUGGAGACCAUAUUCAUGAUUUCUAUAAGACAGAAAUACAGUAUGUAAAACGCAUUUGGGGUCUGGGCAUGGGAUUUCUGGGAACAAUCUGAUGCAUAUGAAAAGGCUAUAUGACAGUUAUCAAGCACAAAGAUUAAUCUUUACAAACGCCUAUUAAAUAGGCUAUGGCAAAUAAGCCUUUAAUUGUUUUUGGGG
Chrysemys picta bellii (western painted turtle) is the source of this 496-nucleotide non-coding RNA. The record is from RefSeq and is a predicted model, not a curated record. NCBI's taxonomy places the organism in Eukaryota, Metazoa, Chordata, Testudines, Emydidae.